Molecule: long non-coding RNA, 2478 nt
Organism: Apis mellifera (honey bee)
Lineage: Eukaryota; Metazoa; Arthropoda; Insecta; Hymenoptera; Apidae
Exons: 2
Source: RefSeq, a predicted model, not a curated record
AUAAAUUAACCGUUUUACAUGUAUAUAAUGUACAUAUACGAAACUUAGAUAGACAAGAACAAAAAAGGAAAAAAGAAAUGAAAUGCAUAACGAAUUAAUAUCAAAUUUAAAGAAACGAUCGAGAGCUUUCGUAACUAGAAAACAACAGAGAAAAAAACGAAUAUAAAAGGAAGAAGAAUAAUUCUCUCGCCGACGAUACUAUUAUGAUUGUACACGUCGUUCUAUGUUUUGUAUCUGAAGGCGUUGCACAAAGAACGACAUAAAGUUGCGACAAAACUGCGAAUAUAUACAAUAAAUCGCCGAAAGUGACGUGACGAAUUUUACCGUGACGAACUUAUCCGUUCCAAAUUACCAUUUCCGUACAAGAGGCGAAGACUGGUUAAUAAAUAUAUGGAGCCGUUGUUUGUCAUUUUUUGAUGCUUCGAACGACUCGAUUUUGUAUUCGAUUUCGAUUAUUCGUUAGAACAAAACACAUUUUCAAUUAAGAUACUCUUCGAUCUCUUCGAUAAUCGAUUGUUGCGUUUCAUUACAAAUCGACAGGCAAAAAAUCUCGCGCUCAAAAUAAGAAAUGAGCGAUCGCUUUGAGAAAUAUAUUAUUUUGCAUUAAUUAUUCGACUGGUUUUCGAACGAAACGAAAUUAGCAUUUAUUACAUAUAUUCUAUAGAAAUUUAUUUUGAAUUUUGCGCUUUUAUAAAUAGAAGAAAUAAUGGAGAACAAAAUUGGAAAACGUAAUUGGGCAUUCACAUAAGAAAAAAAAAUAAAUAAAUUUAUUAUCUCAAAGCAGAUUUCUUGCGCUUGUCAUGAUGAAAGAAAAGACAAAUUUAUCGCGUAUAUCGAGCGAUACUGAUAAACGAUAAAUCGUUAAGCGUAUCAUCAGAUAUAUGUUGCUUCCGUUUGUGUGCCAAUAAAGAAAAAUCGACAUUCUUGAUGUAUAAAUAUAAUGAAACUUAAAUGAUGAACGAUAUUAUUGUUACGCGGGCCGGCUGUUACGGCUAAUUUUUUCUGAUCAGAAUUUACGAUGCAAUGUAAUUCUUUGGAGCAAUCAUCGCUGUUUAUAAGUACAACCGAUAAAAAUUACUGAAGAGGGAAAGAAGAAGCUCUCCGAUAAAAGAAAAAAAAAAGAAAAAAAAAGAAAAAGAAAAAGAAAAAAAGAAAAAAAUGAAUGAAGAGAGACAGACGAGGGGAAAAAAAAAUCGUGUAAUAUAAACUAUAAGCUACCGAGCAAUUGGUAUGCAUUAAUUACUUGUAUAUAUACAUAGUAUUUUUACAUUCUAAUUCUAAAUUACAUUUCCAAUUCUAAAUGGUAAUAACAUUAACUCUGUGAGCUUCGCUUGUCAUUUGUGUAAAUCGUCGAUGAUAUUUCUUUCAUGUUUGAUUUAAAAAAAAAAAAAAAAAAUAGGAAAGCUAACGCGAAUGUUGUGAACGAUACGCGGCAAAUGUUAUACCCUUUCUUGUGCUUAUUUUAUUGCACCCUCUUGCACAAGAUUCAAUACACGCCUCGUGCCUUCAUCGCACUUAAAUUAAUUAAUUAGAAUGUAUAAUGGUUAUGGUCGUACGUGCAAUGUUCCUAAUCGUGAUUAUUCGUGGGAAAAAUUAUUUGCCAUCUUUGAUCAUGGCAGAUAUAUUUGUAUUUUUAUCAUAAUUAUUGCAUCGACUUGUACAGGCCCCAUCCAUAUCUAUUGAUCAAGAGAUGUAAAGUGACAUUUCGUUUGACACGAAACAUAAAAAAAAAAAAAAAUUAGUAUUCCGCGAAUAUUUUCGUAAAUGUGACAUUUCACGUGGCCAUAGACCAAUUAGGAUGACAAGAAGAAGAAUAUUUCAUCAUCGUGCGUCGUGUUACGAUGUAUUCGAUGUUUGUACGCGUAAUUUGAUUCUAUUUCACUUAUGCUCAUAAGCGGAUGUAAUCGUAUCUUCUCGAAUACACUGUUAUACAACGUGCAAAAGCGAAGAAUAAUAACAUUCACUCGUGCGCAUCUUUAGCCAUUAACAACAUUAAAAACAUCGCCCCAUAUGGCUUUAAUAAAUAUUAGGUUUCUUUUCUAGAAGAGAAAUCUUCGUCAAAAUUCGUCGUAUUAUCGAAAUUCAUUUUUUUUUUUUCUAUUUUGUCUUUUACACAUAGAGACAGAGCGAAGCUCAACGUACUAGUCCUUACUUUAAAACCAAAGUAAAGAGAAAACAACAUUGUGUAGCUUUUAAGAAUCUCCAUUACGUAUUCACACCUGUGUGUCUAUACAAAAGGCAUAAUUAUAAUUAAAUAAUUCAAUCAUCGUAAUUAGGUAAAUGACUAACCGAUAAGCGAAUAGAUAAAGAAGAGAAUACAAUGGAUAAGCCACUCGUUAAAUGUAUCGUUUUAUUUUAAUUCAUUUUUUACUACACGAUUAACAUUUUAUCUAGCAACUUUCGUCGGCUAGGAAUGUAAAUUCUGUAUCUGUACAUUGUUUUCCUAUUUCAACUAUUAAAAGUGAUCGUCAACUUAAA